Molecule: ribosomal RNA, 496 nt
Filed under: uncultured soil bacterium
Lineage: Bacteria
Description: bacterial SSU rRNA
Rfam family: Bacterial small subunit ribosomal RNA
Source: RNAcentral
AGGACGAACGCUGGCGGCGUGCUUAACACAUGCAAGUCGAGCGGUAAGGCUCCUUCGGGAGUACACGAGCGGCGAACGGGUGAGUAACACGUGAGCAAUCUGCCCUUCUCUUCGGAAUAACCAUUGGAAACGAUGGCUAAUGCCGAAUACGACCUCCUUUCGCAUGAUCGGAGGUGGAAAGCUCCGGCGGAGAAGGAUGAGCUCGCGGCCUAUCAGCUAGUUGGCGGGGUAACGGCCCACCAAGGCGACGACGGGUAGCCGGCCUGAGAGGGUGACCGGCCACACUGGGACUGAGACACGGCCCAGACUCCUACGGGAGGCAGCAGUGGGGAAUAGUUGGACAAUGGGCGAAAGGCCUAGGAUACCAGCAACGCCGCGUGAAGGAUGGACGGUCCGUUCGGGUUGUAAACCGUCUUCGAGCGAGGACGGAAGACGAAAGUGACGGUACUGACGACGAAGAAGGACCGGCCAACGUAACGUGCCGAGCCGAGCCGAC